This 2264-nucleotide long non-coding RNA is filed under the name Homo sapiens (human). RNAcentral describes it as "HSALNT0328797". The record is from RNAcentral. Lineage: Eukaryota; Metazoa; Chordata; Mammalia; Primates; Hominidae.
GCCAGGAGACAGAGACAGAGUCCCAUCUCACCACUAAUAGUUGUGUGACUUGGAGGUGGAAAGUGACACAACUGAAUGAUGAUUUUCUUGGUAACAUUUGGAAGGGCCACGAGAGCUGCUGGGAUUGGGCUUGCUGUGUUUCCUUGAUGAAUUUCACCUUUAAAGGAGCUUGCUGCAUGAGAGAGGCUGUCUUGCCUUUAAAUUCAUUCUUCAAGUUCGUCCCGGAGGGCAUCGUUUUUCCUGCCUUGAGGAAGCAACAACAAAUAACCCAGGAAAAACACUGCAUAAACAUGGCAUCCAAAGAGAGGAAGCAGAGACAUGAUGCACCAACUACUACUUUAGUAAUUGAAGAGAGAGAGAAGAGCCUGAAGUCAUUCAAUAAUUAGAUCAAAUAAUUUACUAAUGGAUCAUUUGUCUUCCCUUCCAAUCUUCCUUAGCAAGUUGGCUAAUUGCUCCAUGGUCACAAGAUAGCUGCUGAAUCUCUAGAAAUCAUUCCCAAGUCCCAUUCAGGAAGAAAAUAAAAGGGUGCAUUGGCUUUUUCUGUUUCCCUCUUCUCAGAACUCUCUCAGCAGACUUUCACUUACGUGUUAUAUAGUCCAGAACUGGAUGGCAUGGCUCCCCACCGUGUGCAAGGGAGAUUCAACAGGAUUUGGUUUUUCAGCCUCUGUUGGGAGAGACCAAGAGACAGAAGGAGACUGGGUAACACUGUCCACCGUAACCACUUAGUAUAGUGAUAACUCUGGGCAAAUAUUAAUUACUACUGGGCUAGUUGAAAGUUUCUGGGAAGCAAAUCAGUUGCUAAGCACAUGCUCUAUGAGAACCCAUAAUAUAAAUAAGAAGAAGAAAAAAGAAGGUUUAAAUGUUGGCUUACUUAGAGGAAUGCCUAGUUUCUUCUCUAUCACUGUGGUAACCACUAGGUUACAACUGUUACCUUUUCUCACAGAAAGACAAUUCCAAAACAGACCUCAAAUGAAAAUGCUACACAAAUAAUGGAUUAAUUGGGUACCAUUUCUACUCUUCUCAUCAUGUUUUACAAGCAGUUGAAAUAAUAUGUGCCCUUCCCAGUCCCUUUUUAGUAUUUGUCAGUAGAAUAGAGUGUCAAAAACGACUUACGAUGCCUAAAACAUUUAGAAAUUAAAAUAGCAUGUGGUGGUGCCAUGACCUUUUCAAUAUGCUGGUGUUUCAAUUGUUCAGCCAUUCCUCUUGUUCUUUUUCCUGACUGUUCUUUAUCAGAGGAAAAGGUAAAUUGGCACCUCAAGUAUGGAGUACUCAAAGGAACUAAACAGCACAUUAUUGAAACAAUUCAGAGGCAAUCCCGCAUAGCUUCCAAGUGCCAUGGAAACAAAAGAUGGUAACUUUAUUAAUUGUGAAAGGUUGGGGGAACGAAUUUAGUAUCUUGCUUUGCCAGUUUUCCUCUAGUGCACAGUAUAGUUUCCAGGACCUGCAUACAAACAUCAGUUCAUGAUCAAAAUGUGACCUUGCCUGUCCCGAUGAAUAAAACUAAUAAAUUCCCCAAUGAUAUGCUUAUUAUGCUUCUCUGAGGGAAGAUGGUUGCUUUCGUGUCAUUGUGGUUCCAUAAUAUCUCUUGGAAGGAGGCUUCUGAGGAUGCCCAAGCUGCUCCUCUGGGUUUCCCUAACACCCUGCAUGCGCUCAUCGUGUAGAAAUUGCCACAUAGCGUUACAGGUUUCUGUUCACUUAUUUCGUCUGCCCAGUGGGAAUGUGAUUUCCUGAAGAGCACCUAGCACAUGCCUAAAACACAAAAGGACUUCACUAAACAUUUGCUGAAUAACUACCACCUGUGCCAAGAAGCAGACCGGCUUCCGCUACAACUGACAGCCCUUCUCUCCUGCUAGUCAGAGAUUCUCUGUCUUGGAAGAGACUUUAGGAAACAGCAGACAUCUUGGAUGUGUGCCUGCCUGCAUUACCACCUUCUCCAGUUUUAUCCUAAAGCUGACUUCAGUACAGCUCUCCCCAAACUGUGGAAACUUUGGAUGACUACCUAAGAACUCCACAAACUCAAGCAGCUUUAAAGCCACUCUGCAACUUUCCUACAAUGAAAGAGGAGGCAGGUACCAUUCUCAGAUAAUACCGAUGAAUUCAGAAACCAAAAUAAAUCUGAAAAAAUGUAGUGCUUCACACUUACAUUUAUACCCUUCUCCCUUCUUGCUUUAUUCCCCAGAAGUGAGUAGCUCCUGAAACUGAUAGCCAAGAGAUGUUCAGGAAGAACCUGUCCCCAAACAGGUGUUUGCACACCCAAGUUAUGU